RNAcentral lists this small nuclear RNA (162 nucleotides) under Gopherus evgoodei (Goodes thornscrub tortoise). RNAcentral describes it as "U4 spliceosomal RNA (ENSGEVG00005003249.1)". It matches the Rfam family "U4 spliceosomal RNA". From Rfam's summary of the family: U4 small nuclear RNA (U4 snRNA) is a component of the major U2-dependent spliceosome. The structure of U4 snRNA from yeast and human has been reported. Lineage: Eukaryota; Metazoa; Chordata; Testudines; Testudinidae. The record is from RNAcentral.
UUUUCUAUGUUUGGGGCAGUAUCAUAGCCAAUGAGGUUAAUCCGAGGCGUGAUUAUUGCUAGUUGAAAACUUUUCCUCUUUUCCUGCUGAUUCCUUUCUAAGCUCCCUCUAGGGUUCUAAAUUAUGUACUGCAUUUACUCACUCCUGUACUACGCAAUCUGC